RNAcentral lists this ribosomal RNA (253 nucleotides) under uncultured bacterium. Its description in RNAcentral is "partial 16S ribosomal RNA". It matches the Rfam family "Bacterial small subunit ribosomal RNA", at positions 524 to 776 of the family's 1533-position model. The record is from RNAcentral.
UACGGAGGGUGCAAGCGUUAUCCGGAUUCACUGGGUUUAAAGGGUGCGUAGGUGGGCAAGUAAGUCAGUGGUGAAAUCUCCGGGCUUAACCCGGAAACUGCCAUUGAUACUAUAGGUCUUGAAUUAUCUGGAGGUGAGCGGAAUAUGUCAUGUAGCGGUGAAAUGCUUAGAUAUGACAUAGAACACCAAUUGCGAAGGCAGCUCACUACGGAUAUAUUGACACUGAGGCACGAAAGCGUGGGGAUCAAACAGG